GAUGAAGAACGUAGCGAAAUGCGAUACUUGGUGUGAAUUGCAGAAUCCCGUGAACCAUCGAGUCUUUGAACGCAAGUUGCGCCCGAAGCCGUCAGGCCGAGGGCACGCCUGCCUGGGCGUCACACGCCGUUGCCCCCCCCGCGCCCCGCACCCAACUCUUUGGGAGCGACCGCGGGGCGGGCUGAUGAUGGCCUCCCGUGCGCUCCGCCGCGCGGUUGGCCCAAAUACCGAGUCCCCGGCGACGUGCGCCACGACGAUCGGUGGUUGAGAGACCUCUGUCGCAAGUCGUGCGCGCCCGUCGCGUCACGCGGGCUCGCAUAGCGCCUCGCGCCGCACCCGGUGCGGAGCUUUCAACGCGACCCCAGGUCAGGCGGGGUUACCCGCUGAAUUUAAGCAUAUCAUAAGCGGAGGA
This 412-nucleotide unclassified non-coding RNA is filed under the name soil metagenome. RNAcentral describes it as "partial contains 5.8S ribosomal RNA, internal transcribed spacer 2, and large subunit ribosomal RNA". The stretch from base 1 to 122 matches the Rfam family "5.8S ribosomal RNA", at positions 35 to 154 of the family's 154-position model. The record is from RNAcentral.